GUAUAAGUUUAUAGGCACAAAGGCCUGUUUAUUACAUUCUAUAAACAUACAUUGGGGUAUAUGAAAAACAUAGACCUGAAAACACAAGGAAAGAACAGAUCACUCCUUAAACCCGAAUCUGCCAGGCAAAUUCAGAGAGAUAUCCAGGUCUACAAAAGGUUCACAGGUGGAGAUAUAAAGAUGACAAGUGUGCACAUGCUCCCUAGAGAACCAGCAGCAACUCAUCAGGUUUAUUUCAAUAAUGAUCCUUCCGCAGGUUCACCUACGGAAA
This 271-nucleotide unclassified non-coding RNA is filed under the name uncultured fungus. Its description in RNAcentral is "sequence contains ITS1". The record is from RNAcentral. Lineage: Eukaryota; Fungi.